Long non-coding RNA from Manis pentadactyla (Chinese pangolin), 1044 nucleotides. RefSeq lists it as uncharacterized. Lineage: Eukaryota; Metazoa; Chordata; Mammalia; Pholidota; Manidae. The record is from RefSeq and is a predicted model, not a curated record. The transcript has 3 exons.
GGUGUGAGCCAGAAGCUCUAUUCUGUCACUUUAUUUCUAAACAAAAGCCUGUACCUUACUCUCCUACCUCGAGUGUUUGUAAAGCUCAUUCUUUGGCUUCGUGGACAAGAACCCCAGCAUCACCAAGUUGCUCCUGGCUUUUUGAGAUUUAAUUGAUUAAUAUUGGGUCUUUUUAGUGGACUUUCUGGCCUUUUUCUCUUUCCACCCUGCUUAUCUAUUUUCCUGCCUAAUAGACAGAAAUGAGCGGGACGAAAAAGAGAGACGGUCCCCCAAAGAUGACUCAGGGAGUUGAUCAGGUAGAGCCAGAAAGCCAGAACUGACUCCGAGAGUUAAUCAGAUGAAGCCACAGGGUCCACGAGUGACUCAGGAAAUGUCCAGGGUCCCCCCAGACAAGCAACAUCAGAAGCACAGGCACAGCAGAGCCCAUGUCCCCAUUUCACCAGUCUAGAGAACUGACAGCUGUCAACCAAGGACCUCUCUGCCCUGCCAACACCACAGAAAAGCAGCCUCAGUAUGAGCAUCUGGGCCUAUCUUAGGCAGGCCCGCUCUGUUGCUCUAUGUGGAGUGUAUUAAAACUUACUUUGCUUUCUUGACUUAGUUUCUUGUCUCACUAUAUCUGCGUUCCCUGUGACACCGAGCCAAGUCCUUUUAUUCCUAACAGUUGUACAAGCGCCACCUCCCACACCUCCCAGAGCCAGCCUGGGACCUAUAAAAGACAUCCCUGCUGCAGCAUCUCCAUCUGCUCUGACUCCCCAAGGACAAUUCUGUGCUCCAUCUGUGAGCAGGGUGAGUGGGAAGCGGAGCCUGAGGGGGCACUGAACAGGAUAAGGGAGGAAUAGGCAGCUGGGAGAGGAAGAGCAGAAAAUGCCUGCUUCUUCAGGCCGCCCUGGACUCAGUGAGGCAGGAGGCGUUCCUAAUUCUGUAACUCCCUUCUAACUUCUUCAAUUUCAUGGAACCUGAUGCUCACCGCCACAAGCUUUACAUCUCCCUGUAUGGCCCCAGAAGAUGGCUGGUUAACCAGAGACGUGUAAGAUUCCUCAAGGG